AUAUAAACUCCUUGAAACCAACACAUGGACUUCAAGAAGUGCCUAUGGAAAAAACCUACAAAUAUAACUUAAGGCAACCAUUAGUCCAUAGGGAUUGUCAUCAAUUACCAAAACCACAUACGGAGAAAUAUGCUCUAACAAUUGUCUUCACCAAGUACCUGGUUAUUUUUCCUCAACCCUUCUAUUUCCUAAUUUACGUGUUCAUGAAAUUGAUCGUUACUGUUUGAAGAAUUUGACUGAAGAGUUUCUCAAUUUCCUCAUCUCAAAUUCUUCACAUCACUUGUUCUUCACUGCUUAUCCUGAUCACGCUACUCGUGCUAAGUGUUUGUUUCAUUUCAUCAUGAUGACCACGCUUUUGCAAUGUUACGCUUACGUG
This 376-nucleotide long non-coding RNA is filed under the name Hordeum vulgare. RNAcentral's name for it is "long non-coding RNA (HVUL_LNC006932)". The record is from RNAcentral. Lineage: Eukaryota; Viridiplantae; Streptophyta; Magnoliopsida; Poales; Poaceae.